GAGCAAUGAUGAGCCUGAUGUGUACUGACAAUUGAAUACGUGGAGGUUUAUACACUUGACCUGAGCUCA
Non-coding RNA from Podarcis lilfordi (Lilford's wall lizard), 69 nucleotides. The record is from the annotation of a GenBank genome assembly. Lineage: Eukaryota; Metazoa; Chordata; Lepidosauria; Squamata; Lacertidae.